AAUCUAUGGGGCAGGUGGUCUCUAUGGGGCAGGAGGCCUCUAUGGGGCCAAAAUCUAUGGGGCAGGAGGCCUCUAUGGGGCAGAAUCUGACCCUAUGGGGCAGGAGACCGAAAUCUAUGGGUCUGAAGGCCUCUAUGGAGCCAAAAUCUAUGGGGCAGGAGACCAAAAUCUAUGGGUCCGAAAGUCUCUAUGGGGCCAAAAUCUAUGGGGCAGGAGACCGAAAUCUAUGGGGCCAAAAUCUAUGGGGCAGGAGGUCUCUAUGGGGCAGAAUCUGACCCCAUUUCUCCCCCCUCUCUCCCCACAGCCCGCCCUACAAGCAGCCCCCAGCUGUACCCGCUGUCCGCCUGUUGUUCCGACUCCUCUCUCCCCGCCGCCGUGGGUUGCCUGGUUUCUCCUUCCUCCUCCUCUUCCUCCGUCAGCUGGGAGGGGGUCGGGGGUUCCGACAUGGCCGCCAUCGUUUCGGGCUCCCCAAAAAGGCUCAGCUUCGUCCGACUGACGGCCGGGGAAAAGAGGAAGAGCUUCGUCUGUAGCGUCAAAGACCAGCGGAGCGGCGGGGUGAUCAGGAAGGAAGUGCAGGUCUGCCGCGUGCCACCUACAUCACGUUCAGCCCCAGAGGUGCAGGUCCUCCACGCCUCUUCCUGCCCCCCAAGUUGGGAUCUAUGGGGCUGGAGGACCUCCAAUGGGGCUGGAGGACCCCCAAGUUGGGAUCUAUGGGUCUGGAGGACCUCCAACAACCUUGGAGGACUUCCAAUCAGUAUCUAUGGGUCUGGAGGACCUCCAACAACCCUGGAGGACCCUGAUUGGGAAUCUAUGGGUCUGGAGGACCUCCAAUGGGGCUGGAGGACCUCCAACAACCCUGGAGGACCUCCAAUCAGUAUCCAUGGGGCUGGAGGACCCCGAUUGGGAAUCUAUGGGCCUGGAGGACCUCCAAUCAGUAUCUAUGGGUCUGGAGGACCCUGAUUGGGAAUUCCUGGGUCUGGAGGACCUCCAACAACCUUGGAGGACCUCCGAUCAGUAUCCAUGGGUCUGGAGGACCUCCAACAACCUUGGAGGACCUCCAAUCAGUAUCCAUGGGCCUGGAGGACCCCGACUGGGAAUCUAUGGGGCUGGAGGACCUCCAAUGGGGCUGGAGGACCUCCAACAACCCUGGAGGACUUCCAAUCAGUAUCUAUGGGCCUGGAGGACCUCCAACAACCCUGGAGGACCCCGAUUGGGAAUCUAUGGGUCUGGAGGACCUCCAAUCAGUAUCUAUGGGUCUGGAGGACCUCCAACAGCCCUGGAGGACCCCCAAAAGCCCUGGAGGACCCCGAUUGGGAAUCUAUGGGGCUGGAGGACCUCCAAUCAGUAUCUAUGGGUCUGGUGGACCCCGAUUGGGAAUCUAUGGGUCUGGAGGACUUUCAAUGGUUCUGGAGGACCUCCAAUCAGUAUCUAUGGGCCUGGAGGACC
This 1446-nucleotide long non-coding RNA is filed under the name Phasianus colchicus (ring-necked pheasant). RNAcentral describes it as "lncRNA (ENSPCLG00000019031.1)". Lineage: Eukaryota; Metazoa; Chordata; Aves; Galliformes; Phasianidae. The record is from RNAcentral.